AUUCUCCUCCGAUCUUUUCCAGGACACCCACGAGAGCACCAAAGUGAUGUCAACCGCCCUCUACACCCAGUCUGUCAUGGAAAGAGCAGAGAAUUUGGCAGUACGUCUAACUGGCCUCACAAUCGUAGACCACGCCAGCCCAGGACCUCCACAUCCGGCUUCUUUACCUGCGGGAUCGUCUGAGACUGUGGGUUUGUACAACCAAAGAAUUUCUGCACAUACUGUCAGAAACCGUCUCUGGUAUGCAACUUCAGUGGGCCAAGGCUCACCUUCGAUGGCCACUGGCACGCUGAAUAAGUGCUCUUCACGGAGGAAUCAUAAUUUCAACUGUACUGAGCAGAUGGCAGACAACGUGUAUGGUGUUGUGUGAGCAAGUGUUUUACUGAUGUCAACGUUGUGAACAGAGUGCCCCAUGGUGGCGGUGGGGUUAUGGUAUGGGCAGGCAUAUGUUACAGACAAUGAACACAAUUGCAUUUUAUUUAUGGCAAUUUGAAUGCACAAAGACACCGUGAUGAGAUCCUGAGGCCCAUUGUCGUGCCAUUGAUCCGCCACCAUCACCGCAAAUGGUGGUCAUACCAGAUACUGACUUGACUGGUUUUCAUGCCCUCGCCCCUACCUUUUUUCAAAGGUAUCUGUGACCAACAGAUGUAUAUCUGUGUUCCCAGUCAUGUGAAAUCCAUAGAUUAGGGCCUAAUACAUUUAUUUAAAUUGAUUGAUUUCCUUAUGAACUGUAAUUUAGUCAAAUCUUUGAAAUUGUUGCGUUUAUAUUUUUGUUCAGUGUGUAUAUACUAUAUAGUACCAGUCAACUUUGGACACACCUACUCAUAUUUCUCUUUAUUUUUAUUAUUUUCUACAUUGUAGAAUAAUAGUGAAGACAUCAAAGCUAUGAAAUAACACAUGGAAUCAUGUAGUAAUUAAAAAAGUGUUAAACAAAUCUAAA
Long non-coding RNA from Oncorhynchus nerka (sockeye salmon), 940 nucleotides. RefSeq lists it as uncharacterized. The record is from RefSeq and is a predicted model, not a curated record. The transcript has 2 exons. NCBI's taxonomy places the organism in Eukaryota, Metazoa, Chordata, Actinopteri, Salmoniformes, Salmonidae.